This 301-nucleotide ribosomal RNA is filed under the name uncultured bacterium. RNAcentral's name for it is "partial 16S ribosomal RNA". It matches the Rfam family "Bacterial small subunit ribosomal RNA", at positions 509 to 807 of the family's 1533-position model. The record is from RNAcentral.
CAGUAGCCGCGGUAAUACGUAGGGUGCGAGCGUUGUCCGGAAUUAUUGGGCGUAAAGCGCGCGCGGGUGGUUUAAUAAGUCUGAUGUGAAAGCCCACGGCUCAACCGUGGAGGGUCAUUGGAAACUGUUAAACUUGAGUGCAGGAGAGAAAAGUGGAAUUCCUAGUGUAGCGGUGAAAUGCGUAGAGAUUAGGAGGAACACCAGUGGCGAAGGCGGCUUUUUGGCCUGUAACUGACACUGAGGCGCGAAAGCGUGGGGAGCAAACAGGAUUAGAUACCCCCGUAGUCCCUGUCUCUUAUAC